This 568-nucleotide ribosomal RNA is filed under the name Penicillium sp. RNAcentral's name for it is "LSU rRNA". It matches the Rfam family "Eukaryotic large subunit ribosomal RNA", at positions 71 to 653 of the family's 3401-position model. The record is from RNAcentral. Lineage: Eukaryota; Fungi; Ascomycota; Eurotiomycetes; Eurotiales; Aspergillaceae.
GGGAUUGCCUCAGUAACGGCGAGUGAAGCGGCAAGAGCUCAAAUUUGAAAGCUGGCUCCUUCGGGGUCCGCAUUGUAAUUUGCAGAGGAUGCUUCGGGAGCGGCCCCCAUCUAAGUGCCCUGGAACGGGCCGUCAUAGAGGGUGAGAAUCCCGUCUGGGAUGGGGUGCCCGCGACCAUGUGAAGCUCCUUCGACGAGUCGAGUUGUUUGGGAAUGCAGCUCUAAAUGGGUGGUAAAUUUCAUCUAAAGCUAAAUAUUGGCCGGAGACCGAUAGCGCACAAGUAGAGUGAUCGAAAGAUGAAAAGCACUUUGAAAAGAGAGUUAAAAAGCACGUGAAAUUGUUGAAAGGGAAGCGCUUGCGACUAGACUCGCCCACGGGGUAACAGCCGCUAUUCGUAGCGGUGCACUUCCCCGUGGUCGGGCCAGCGUCGGUUUGGGCGGCCGGUCAAAGGCCCUCGGAAUGUAACGCCUCUCGGGGCGUCUUAUAGCCGGGGGUGCCAUGCGGCCAGCCCAGACCGAGGAUCGCGCUUCGGCACGGACGCUGGCUUAAUGGUCGUAAGCGACCCGUC